This 66-nucleotide transfer RNA is filed under the name Deroplatys truncata. RNAcentral's name for it is "tRNA-Glu". Lineage: Eukaryota; Metazoa; Arthropoda; Insecta; Mantodea; Mantidae. The record is from RNAcentral.
AUUUAUAUAGUUUAAAUAAAACAUUACAUUUUCAUUGUAAAAAUAAAUUUUUCAAUUUUAUUAAUA